UACGGAGGGUGCAAACGUUGCUCGGAAUUAUUGGGCGUAAAGCGCACGUAGGCGGACCAUCAAGUCGGAUGUGAAAGCCCUCGGCUUAACUGAGGAAGUGCAUCCGAAACUGAGUAGCUAGAGUACGAAAGAGGGUCGCGGAAUUCCCGGUGUAGAGGUGAAAUUCGUAGAUAUCGGGAGGAACACCGGUGGCGAAGGCGGCGACCUGGGUCGACACUGACGCUGAGGCGCGAAAGCGUGGGGAGCAAACAGG
This 253-nucleotide ribosomal RNA is filed under the name uncultured bacterium. RNAcentral's name for it is "partial 16S ribosomal RNA". It matches the Rfam family "Bacterial small subunit ribosomal RNA", at positions 524 to 776 of the family's 1533-position model. The record is from RNAcentral.